GCCCGGUAGAGGGGGAUAACCACUGGAAACGGUGGCUAAUACCGCAUAAUGUCGCAAGACCAAAGUGGGGGACCUUCGGGCCUCACACUACCGGAUGAACCCAGAUGGGAUUAGCUAGUUGGUGGGGUAACGGCUCACCAAGGCGACGAUCCCUAGCUGGUCUGAGAGGAUGACCAGCCACACUGGAACUGAGACACGGUCCAGACUCCUACGGGAGGCAGCAGUGGGGAAUAUUGCACAAUGGGCGCAAGCCUGAUGCAGCCAUGCCGCGUGUAUGAAGAAGGCCUUCGGGUUGUAAAGUACUUUCAGCGGGGAGGAAGGGAGUGAGGUUAAUAACUUCAUUCAUUGACGUUACCCGCAGAAGAAGCACCGGCUAACUCCGUGCCAGCAGCCGCGGUAAUACGGAGGGUGCAAGCGUUAAUCGGAAUUACUGGGCGUAAAGCGCACGCAGGCGGUCUGUUAAGUCAGAUGUGAAAUCCCCGGGCUCAACCCGGGAACUGCAUUUGAAACUGGCAGGCUUGAGUCUCGUAGAGGGGGGUGGAAUUCCAGGUGUAGCGGUGAAAUGCGUAGAGAUCUGGAGGAAUACCGGUGGCGAAGGCGGCCCCCUGGACGAAGACUGACGCUCAGGUGCGAAAGCGUGGGGAGCAAACAGGAUUAGAU
Molecule: ribosomal RNA, 660 nt
Filed under: Erwinia sp. DH26
Lineage: Bacteria; Pseudomonadati; Pseudomonadota; Gammaproteobacteria; Enterobacterales; Erwiniaceae
Description: bacterial SSU rRNA
Rfam family: Bacterial small subunit ribosomal RNA
Source: RNAcentral